Molecule: long non-coding RNA, 2886 nt
Organism: Formica exsecta
Lineage: Eukaryota; Metazoa; Arthropoda; Insecta; Hymenoptera; Formicidae
Exons: 4
Source: RefSeq, a predicted model, not a curated record
AAAACAUGGCUUCAACGAUAUAUAAAUAAACGUUCUUAUUCUUUUUGGCCAUUUUAUCAAUCUGAGUAAAAUGAGUCAUUCAGCCUUUUUGGAAGAAUACAUUUCGUGAUAACGAUAAUUCUUAUAUAUAAUAUGCAUUGUAUAACGCGCACGCAUAUGUAACAUUAAACUACCUUUAUGAUGUAAUUGCGUUUUUCGUAGUGCGCGUCGUGUCGACCAUUCGAGUCGCAGAUUACAAAAGAUGUAAGCCCACGAUGUAAGACCGCGAUCGCGCUCGACACUGUCCUCUUCCCUCCGAUCCCCUCGGCGUUGCAAAACAUGACGACCCGUGCAUACAUUGUACGAAUGUUGCGAUCGCGUGUGCAUGUUUCGUGCUGCGGUAAUAACUAGUGCGAUGCAGCAGCGGUGACAAAGCGCGAUUCCGCCCGAAGAAGACAUAAAUAAACCUCAAGUUGGAGCAAGUGUGCGCAACAAUUUGUUCUGUCUAUUGUUCCCACUAAACGGACCAACAGCCAAGCAAUAAAUCGCAAAAUUGUGUAACGUCAAGAAUUGACGAUAAUAAAGGUAUGAAAGACCCACGUUCCCGGAAAAGACAUAAUGCAAACAACGUGAAAAGGCAAGCGUGUUAACUUACAAUAGCGCUACGUAUCGAUUUUUCGGAGACACGUAGCGCGAUGUGAUAACGCAUCAAUAUUCAUUCAAGCGGUCGAUUUCGUUUAUACAUAAAGAUAAUAUAACCGAUAUCCAAAUUCUUUUCUCUCUAUGUGUCUAGUCGUAUGAGUCAAUCUCUAGCGCCUAUCGCGCGUAGCUGUUUCUCCGGAUCCUGCUACAUUAUUCAUGCCGCGUCGCUACGCGUAUAUUAAAUCUGUCUUGCGCAUUAGCAUAAUGCGCAACAGGAUACAGAAUCUCGGACGGAUAUCGACGGGUCGAUGAAACAGCUAAGCUAAACGGAAAAGAAUAAAAUCGCCAUUAAUUGCACGCCCUCGUGCGUUGCGUCAUAAACGGGAAAAAAAGAGCGUAUUGUCCUUCGACAACUCAACAGCUGGACAGCUAUAUGUCAACCCUGUACCUAAUGUAAAUGGGCACUUUAGAGGUCAUCAACAAAUCUCUUGUUUUACUUCGCAAAAUCCAGCGUUAAUUAAACGAUUACAGACGUUAAUCGAUCAACUGGAUGCAAGGCAGACGAAAUAGACGACAUAAGCUGGGUUCUAUUAGAGCAGGGAUUGCAGCCACCGUGAUUAUCAGGACACAGGGAUUACGUUACGACAUUAGUGAUUUCGCUACCGUCAAACAGGAUAAUGCCAACAGCUGCCAAGACUGGCGGAUAAUGAUGACCAACCAACAGAUUAACAUUACGUGGUUCACGAAAAGUGCAUCGCUGAUAUUAUGAGAAAAACAGAAUUUCCAUUUAAGUUGGAAAAGAAUGGAAUGUGGAAUGCACCAUGACAUCACAAGCUAGACCGGUCUCACGGAGCUCCGCUUCGCUCCGAAGAGAAUCAGGAAGUGCAGUUUGUGCAGCAACUUCAUUUCCUCAUCGGAUGAAUGUCGCGCGGACUUCCGGUUCCCUGGAGCGAGCCUUUCACAAGCGCCGCAUUAGAAAAAGAUUAGGAUUAGGAUUAGAAGAGAGAGAAAGGUAGAAGGAAAGAGAAAGAUGCUUUCUUUCUAGAGUGCUGUACGAUCGAGAAAUUUCCCUGGGGACUUAUAUAUCUGCGCAAAAUCGACAAUCGACAUGAUAGUAACAAAGUGGAGAGAACACAAUGUAUAAUACGAUUAUCGCACAAACAGAAAAAAAAAUAUAAUAUAAUAUAAGAAAAUAAAAAGAAGGAUAUCGGAACUUGUUAAUAUUAUUAAUAUAUGUUAAUAUAUGUGUUAUGCUUCAUUUUUUUCAUGCACCACGCGAUUAAUUAUUAUUAUCGUUUUUAUCUAUUAUUUGAUUACAGAAAAGCUUUGAUAAAUAAAACAAGAACCGAAGAUCUAAACAUCAGACCUGUUACAGGGAUGGGAAGGUUCGAGAAACGAGACUCAACAUUAUAAACUUAUCCUACACAAGGUGUCCGACAUGUAAACGUGUGUCGUCUCGGGAAUCGUGCGGGCUGCGAUCUUCGCAUGUAUAUACGUCGCUCUAGAAUUCCAGCGAUGCGGACAAGUUGUAUCUCGUGUCGUCCCGCGUCUACGAAGUUCCAAGGGAACGUAUAGCGGAUGUCCACGAUCCUUGCGAACUCGGGGCGACCUUUCGCCACGAACGCGACCGACGAGGAAGAAACUAUUCCGCUAACGAGAGUCUGCGAGUGAGCUGGCUCCAGGCACGGCGAAGUAAUUGGAAUUCAUACCGAAGUACCUCGUGUCGAGAAACACGCGUGCGCGCUGAUAACUGCGGUUGAUAACCGUAACGCGCGAGUGAUAGGUGCGGUUAACCCGCAAUCUCCCGUUCACAUUUUGUACAGCUUCUUCCAAAGGAACAGUUUCGAUAGACGCAAAAGCACGAGUUCUACACUACGUCAUUUUUAUAUAUAUUUAGCAUAAAAAAAUAUUUCUUCAAACGAAACGGUAUCUUUAUCAACGUAUACAUAGGAAAGUUUUCGGAAAAUUAUGCACGAUUGCCUUCAUAGUCACAUAACGGUUCCCAAAAAAUACCGUGUUAGAGAUAGAGGGAAUUUUAGCUUACAUAAAGAAGAUUAUGUUCUUCGAAAGAUUUAUGAUAUUAUGCAACACUUGUUAUUCUAUGUUAAAACUGUAUUUUUAUUCACGUUUGGGUUAUCGACCUUAUCGUAAAUAUUCAAACGAUUUUUUAUAUUAAUCUUUAUUUUAUAUUAUUUAUAAUAAUAAUUUUAUAUAAUAAACUUUUGUAAUUGGAAUAUAAAAUACAUCAGAAAGUCGCUCUGAAUC